Molecule: ribosomal RNA, 397 nt
Filed under: Rhinella ocellata (ocellated toad)
Lineage: Eukaryota; Metazoa; Chordata; Amphibia; Anura; Bufonidae
Description: partial 16S ribosomal RNA
Rfam family: Bacterial large subunit ribosomal RNA
Source: RNAcentral
CUUGAACUUUAUAAGAGGUCCAGCCUGCCCAGUGACUCUGUUCAACGGCCGCGGUAUCCUAACCGUGCGAAGGUAGCGUAAUCACUUGUUCUUUAAAUGAGGACUAGUAUGAAUGGCACUACGAGGGUUAUACUGUCUCCUUUCUCUAAUCAGUGAAACUAAUUUUCCCGUGAAGAAGCGGGGAUAUAUUUAUAAGACGAGAAGACCCUAUGGAGCUUUAAACAACUCAGCAAUUUCUCCUAAAUUCACAAAUUCAGAAUGUUCAUUUUUAAGAAAUAUGUCUGCAAGUUUUUGGUUGGGGUGACCAUGGAGAAUAAUAUAACCUCCAUAUUGAAUGAAUUUUUUUAAGCUAAAAACUACCAAUUAAAGCAUCAAUACACUGACAUUUAUUGACCCA